This 2904-nucleotide ribosomal RNA is filed under the name Escherichia coli. RNAcentral describes it as "23S ribosomal RNA". It matches the Rfam family "Bacterial large subunit ribosomal RNA". The record is from RNAcentral. Lineage: Bacteria; Pseudomonadati; Pseudomonadota; Gammaproteobacteria; Enterobacterales; Enterobacteriaceae.
GGUUAAGCGACUAAGCGUACACGGUGGAUGCCCUGGCAGUCAGAGGCGAUGAAGGACGUGCUAAUCUGCGAUAAGCGUCGGUGAGGUGAUAUGAACCGUUAUAACCGGCGAUUUCCGAAUGGGGAAACCCAGUGUGUUUCGACACACUAUCAUUAACUGAAUCCAUAGGUUAAUGAGGCGAACCGGGGGAACUGAAACAUCUAAGUACCCCGAGGAAAAGAAAUCAACCGAGAUUCCCCCAGUAGCGGCGAGCGAACGGGGAGGAGCCCAGAGCCUGAAUCAGUGUGUGUGUUAGUGGAAGCGUCUGGAAAGGCGCGCGAUACAGGGUGACAGCCCCGUACACAAAAAUGCACAUAUUGUGAGCUCGAUGAGUAGGGCGGGACACGUGGUAUCCUGUCUGAAUAUGGGGGGACCAUCCUCCAAGGCUAAAUACUCCUGACUGACCGAUAGUGAACCAGUACCGUGAGGGAAAGGCGAAAAGAACCCCGGCGAGGGGAGUGAAAAAGAACCUGAAACCGUGUACGUACAAGCAGUGGGAGCCUCUUAAUGGGGUGACUGCGUACCUUUUGUAUAAUGGGUCAGCGACUUAUAUUCUGUAGCAAGGUUAACCGAAUAGGGGAGCCGAAGGGAAACCGAGUCUUAACUGGGCGCUAAGUUGCAGGGUAUAGACCCGAAACCCGGUGAUCUAGCCAUGGGCAGGUUGAAGGUUGGGUAACACUAACUGGAGGACCGAACCGACUAAUGUUGAAAAAUUAGCGGAUGACUUGUGGCUGGGGGUGAAAGGCCAAUCAAACCGGGAGAUAGCUGGUUCUCCCCGAAAGCUAUUUAGGUAGCGCCUCGUGAAUUCAUCUCCGGGGGUAGAGCACUGUUUCGGCAAGGGGGUCAUCCCGACUUACCAACCCGAUGCAAACUGCGAAUACCGGAGAAUGUUAUCACGGGAGACACACGGCGGGUGCUAACGUCCGUCGUGAAGAGGGAAACAACCCAGACCGCCAGCUAAGGUCCCAAAGUCAUGGUUAAGUGGGAAACGAUGUGGGAAGGCCCAGACAGCCAGGAUGUUGGCUUAGAAGCAGCCAUCAUUUAAAGAAAGCGUAAUAGCUCACUGGUCGAGUCGGCCUGCGCGGAAGAUGUAACGGGGCUAAACCAUGCACCGAAGCUGCGGCAGCGACACUAUGUGUUGUUGGGUAGGGGAGCGUUCUGUAAGCCUGUGAAGGUGGCCUGUGAGGGUUGCUGGAGGUAUCAGAAGUGCGAAUGCUGACAUAAGUAACGAUAAAGCGGGUGAAAAGCCCGCUCGCCGGAAGACCAAGGGUUCCUGUCCAACGUUAAUCGGGGCAGGGUGAGUCGACCCCUAAGGCGAGGCCGAAAGGCGUAGUCGAUGGGAAACAGGUUAAUAUUCCUGUACUUGGUGUUACUGCGAAGGGGGGACGGAGAAGGCUAUGUUGGCCGGGCGACGGUUGUCCCGGUUUAAGCGUGUAGGCUGGUUUUCCAGGCAAAUCCGGAAAACCAAGGCUGAGGCGUGAUGACGAGGCACUACGGUGCUGAAGCGACAAAUGCCCUGCUUCCAGGAAAAGCCUCUAAGCAUCAGGUAACAUCAAAUCGUACCCCAAACCGACACAGGUGGUCAGGUAGAGAAUACCAAGGCGCUUGAGAGAACUCGGGUGAAGGAACUAGGCAAAAUGGUGCCGUAACUUCGGGAGAAGGCACGCUGAUAUGUAGGUGAAGCGACUUGCUCGUGGAGCUGAAAUCAGUCGAAGAUACCAGCUGGCUGCAACUGUUUAUUAAAAACACAGCACUGUGCAAACACGAAAGUGGACGUAUACGGUGUGACGCCUGCCCGGUGCCGGAAGGUUAAUUGAUGGGGUUAGCGGUAACGCGAAGCUCUUGAUCGAAGCCCCGGUAAACGGCGGCCGUAACUAUAACGGUCCUAAGGUAGCGAAAUUCCUUGUCGGGUAAGUUCCGACCUGCACGAAUGGCGUAAUGAUGGCCAGGCUGUCUCCACCCGAGACUCAGUGAAAUUGAACUCGCUGUGAAGAUGCAGUGUACCCGCGGCAAGACGGAAAGACCCCGUGAACCUUUACUAUAGCUUGACACUGAACAUUGAGCCUUGAUGUGUAGGAUAGGUGGGAGGCUUUGAAGUGUGGACGCCAGUCUGCAUGGAGCCGACCUUGAAAUACCACCCUUUAAUGUUUGAUGUUCUAACGUUGGCCCCUAAUCGGGGUUGCGGACAGUGUCUGGUGGGUAGUUUGACUGGGGCGGUCUCCUCCUAAAGAGUAACGGAGGAGCACGAAGGUUGGCUAAUCCUGGUCGGACAUCAGGAGGUUAGUGCAAUGGCAUAAGCCAGCUUGACUGCGAGCGUGACGGCGCGAGCAGGUGCGAAAGCAGGUCAUAGUGAUCCGGUGGUUCUGAAUGGAAGGGCCAUCGCUCAACGGAUAAAAGGUACUCCGGGGAUAACAGGCUGAUACCGCCCAAGAGUUCAUAUCGACGGCGGUGUUUGGCACCUCGAUGUCGGCUCAUCACAUCCUGGGGCUGAAGUAGGUCCCAAGGGUAUGGCUGUUCGCCAUUUAAAGUGGUACGCGAGCUGGGUUUAGAACGUCGUGAGACAGUUCGGUCCCUAUCUGCCGUGGGCGCUGGAGAACUGAGGGGGGCUGCUCCUAGUACGAGAGGACCGGAGUGGACGCAUCACUGGUGUUCGGGUUGUCAUGCCAAUGGCACUGCCCGGUAGCUAAAUGCGGAAGAGAUAAGUGCUGAAAGCAUCUAAGCACGAAACUUGCCCCGAGAUGAGUUCUCCCUGAGACUUAGAGUCUCCUGAAGGAACGUUGAAGACGACGACGUUGAUAGGCCGGGUGUGUAAGCGCAGCGAUGCGUUGAGCUAACCGGUACUAAUGAACCGUGAGGCUUAACCUU